This 253-nucleotide ribosomal RNA is filed under the name uncultured bacterium. Its description in RNAcentral is "partial 16S ribosomal RNA". It matches the Rfam family "Bacterial small subunit ribosomal RNA", at positions 524 to 776 of the family's 1533-position model. The record is from RNAcentral.
UACGUAGGAUGCAAGCGUUGUCCGGAUUUACUGGGCGUAAAGCGCGCGCAGGCGGCACUCUAAGUACGUCGUGAAAUAACCCGGCUCAACCGGAAGGGUGCGAUGUAGACUAGGGAGCUAGAGGUCGGUAGAGGGGGGUGGAAUUGCUGGUGUAGCGGUGAAAUGCGUAGAUAUCGUGAGGAACACCAGAGGCGAAGGCGACUUCCUGGACAAUUGCUGACGCUCAGGCACGAAAGCGUGGGGAGCCAAAGGG